AUACGGAGGAUCCGAGCGUUAUCCGGAUUUAUUGGGUUUAAAGGGAGCGUAGGCGGACGCUUAAGUCAGUUGUGAAAGUCUGCGGCUCAACCGUAAAAUUGCAGUUGAUACUGGGUGUCUUGAGUACAGUAGAGGCAGGCGGAAUUCGUGGUGUAGCGGUGAAAUGCUUAGAUAGCACGAAGAACUCCGAUUGCGAAGGCAGCCUGCUAGACUGGAACUGACGCUGAUGCUCGAAAGUGUGGCUAUCAAACAGGAUUAGAUGCCCUGGUAGUCCACACAGUAAACGAUGAAUACUCGCUGUUUGCGAUAUACAGUAAGCGGUUAAGCGAAAGCGUUAAGUAUUCCACCUGGGGAGUACGCCGGCAACGGUGAAACUCAAAUGAAUUGACGGGG
Molecule: ribosomal RNA, 393 nt
Filed under: uncultured bacterium
Lineage: Bacteria
Description: partial 16S ribosomal RNA
Rfam family: Bacterial small subunit ribosomal RNA
Source: RNAcentral